RNAcentral lists this ribosomal RNA (465 nucleotides) under uncultured bacterium. RNAcentral describes it as "partial 16S ribosomal RNA". It matches the Rfam family "Bacterial small subunit ribosomal RNA", at positions 28 to 507 of the family's 1533-position model. The record is from RNAcentral.
GACGAACGCUGGCGGCGUGCUUAACACAUGCAAGUCGAACGGAAAGGCCCCUUUGGGGGUACUCGAGUGGCGAACGGGUGAGUAACACGUGAGUAACCUGCCCUUGACUUCGGGAUAACUUCAGGAAACUGGGGCUAAUACCGGAUAGGAAUCCUUUCUGCAUGGUGGGGGUUGGAAAGCUUCGGCGGUUGUGGAUGGACUCGCUGCUUAUCAGCUUGUUGGUGGGGGAGUGGCUUACCAAGGCUUUGACGGGUAGCCGGCCUGAGAGGGCGACCGGCCACAUCGGGAUUGAGAUACGGCCCAGACUCCAACGGGAGGCAGAAGUGGGGAAUAUUGAACAAUGGGCGGAAGCCUGAUGCAGAAACGCCGCGGGCGGGAGGACGGACUUCGGGUUGGAAACCGAAUUCAGCAGGGGCGAAGCUUGUGGUGACGGUACCUGCAGAAGAAGCACCGGCUAACUACGUG